Long non-coding RNA from Camellia sinensis, 1499 nucleotides. RefSeq lists it as uncharacterized. The record is from RefSeq and is a predicted model, not a curated record. Lineage: Eukaryota; Viridiplantae; Streptophyta; Magnoliopsida; Ericales; Theaceae.
ACAAAUGUGAGUGGUGAAUGGGUGAAUGAUAUUUGAUUAACUUGAUUUUUUCUACUUAACGUAUUCUAAAAUGUGAAUGGCUCGGAUUAUCAAAAUAGACCUGAAAUGGGCCCAAAUCGCCGCACAGCAGAUGCUACUAUGCAGGCUGCGCAGCAGCAUCCCCACUUCCCUACCGAUUAUCUCUUCCCUCUCAUUUUUCUUUAACUUUCAGUAUGGUUGCAGAAGACACACACACAUCUAUGUACGUACAUGGAUGUGUGGUCUUUCUACUUGGUUUGGUUGGGGGACAGCCAUGGCUACGUUCAUGACAAAAAAAGGAAAAAAUAAUAAUCUAUAACAUCUAUAAAAAGAAUAUUUGGACUGGCUACGUGGCCUUCAGAUUAGCCACACACACGAGAGUAGAAACAAACAAAUUCCAUCAUUCAUUUGUACAAAUGCCGACUUCCUUUCGGUUGCUGCUUCAUUUCCAAUACGAUUCCUCGUAGAAAUUCUCCAAAACGGUGGUCUUCGAUUUGCCUAUUUCCCAAAGUGUUGCCCACGUGGAAUGCAGAUUAGUGACACCGACAAUGAAGAAGACAACAAAUUUUACCGCUUCAAAUAUGGGGUUUACAAGAUAUAUAUGUAUAUAUCUUGUGGGUGGAUUUUCGGUCAUCCUCUUCUGCCCAUCACUGUUGGUGUUCUUGCUGCCAUAACGCUGUGAAAAUUGGGCAUCCAAAGCUGUGGUCCUGCCGUUGCAAAUUCUGCUCGGCGGUUUCUUCAUUUGGACUUACGCUUACCAACUAGUAUGAAGCUCAGCCUCGAAAUUCAAAGCUCUUCAAGCAGCUGAAGAGGUCUCAAAGGUACAAAACAAAGUGCAAUGUGAGGUAGAUAAAUACUAAAGUGUUUAAAUUUAGUAAAUUUUUUGAAAAAUUAAUUUUGAAUCAAAUUGAUAAAAAUAGACUACUUUGCUAGAUAUAGAGUCGCAACCUAAAUAUUUUUGGAAAAUUUAAGAAACCCAUGACUCGUGUCGAAGGCCACGUGUCCAUCAUCACCAAAAUUAUCUCGGCUCGGGAACUUAGGUACGAGAUGAGAAGGUUAUGAAUUGAGUACCCUUGCUUGCUCGACUAAACAUUAAAAGUUACCUAGAAGUUACUCUACUCAAUAUGUAUAUUAAUGCGACCUUCACUUAAUCAUUAAAAAUUAUAUAUAUCGAUUUGUGAUCGGUAUGAUUUAAUUUUUAAGGUUCCAAUAUUAGAUUAAAUAUUAAAAAUGAGUUUAGAAAAUUUAGUUCGAAUUUUUUUUCCCCCAAUGAUUAUUGGUUUAAGCUAUAAUACAUCAUAUUUUAAUACUUCAAUAUCAUAAAAAAAAAUAAUCUUUAUCAAUCAAUAAUUUCUUUUUACAAAUAUUAAGAGAAUUAUAUUUGAACAAAUUCCAACGUAAAAUUUUGGAUAAAUUACAAAUACACCCUUUGAGAUUUGCUUAAAAUACAAAUUGCCCCUAUGGUUUGGAAAAUUACAAAU